Molecule: small RNA, 139 nt
Filed under: Pongo abelii (Sumatran orangutan)
Lineage: Eukaryota; Metazoa; Chordata; Mammalia; Primates; Hominidae
Description: processed transcript
Source: RNAcentral
GGAAGCGGAUAGGGUGGAGUGUAGGUCAUAUCGACGCGAUAUCUCUUCCAAAUGCUUGAUGAAAAAGGUGGGAGGAUCACUUGAGCCAGGGAGUUGAAGGCUGGAGUGAGCCCUGUUUUGCCACCACACUCCAGCUUGG